This is a non-coding RNA of Arabis alpina (gray rockcress), 103 nucleotides long. The record is from Rfam. NCBI's taxonomy places the organism in Eukaryota, Viridiplantae, Streptophyta, Magnoliopsida, Brassicales, Brassicaceae.
AUCUCUUCGUGGAAAUCCGAUAAAAUUGGAACGAUACAGAGAAGAUUAGCAUGACUCAUGCGCAAGGAUGACACGCACAAAUCGAGAAAUGGUCCAAAAAAGC